UUUAGAUAUACCAAACUCCAAA
RNAcentral lists this small nuclear RNA (22 nucleotides) under Arabidopsis thaliana (thale cress). RNAcentral's name for it is "snRNA_17785". Lineage: Eukaryota; Viridiplantae; Streptophyta; Magnoliopsida; Brassicales; Brassicaceae. The record is from RNAcentral.